ACACACGCGCACACACACAUACCAACACACACACACAUCCUAAAGCUACUGCUUCUUGCAUGAAGAGAGUGUGGUGCCCUCUCUUCGACUGCGGCUGUCUUUCUACUCCGUGCGUGUAUGUGGUGUGCUUUCUUUUCUCUGCUUUCUGCCGUGCUAGCUACGCUGUCUAGCACGUCUUAGCGUGUGCUUGUGCGAGUGCAUGUGUGUCGUUGCUGUAUGCAUGGCUGGGUGCAACGUCGCCGGCUGAUGCUGCCGUUUUUAUUAGCCGUUGCCAGAGCGCAAAGGUCGAGCACACCAGCGUCGAUGUUUGCCCACGCUUCACAGGCGAAGCUGUGAACCAACGUGCGCAGGGGCUUUCAGUGCUGCGUAGCGUUAGCAAGGCAACAUGCCUGAAUCUGCAAAGCCCCCGCGUCACUUGGAGGAAGUAUUCCUCUUCAUCUUGUCACUGUCGGCGCGUGGAACGGCGAACCGCAGUGUUUACGAUCCUUUGUGAACUUCCUUCCGCGCGUUUCAUGAUCAGACCAACGAGGCGGCUCUCUGUUCCCAAGCACUCAUAACCGCUGAUGUCGAAGCUGCUCAUACAAUCCGCACGACAAUCACGUCAACGCCUGGGAGCCCACAGCGAGGUGCUGUCGCGGCGUCACAUGGCCGCGUCGUGCUCGGAGUUGCAGGAACCCACAUGAUUAACGAGAGCGCGUCCUGCGCCAGUGCGCAGGUGGCCGGCCAAGAGGCUCGAGCCAAGCCCCCCCCCUCCCUUCCCCGCCAGCUCUGCCUUCUGCUCCCCAUUCCCGCUUGCUGGGGGAGCAGACGCCCACGCACCACGGCAUUGGAAGCCGGCGCUUCUCUGUCGGAAGCAUGGAGAUGUCAGACGUGUAGCAGCCGGAUGGCCUGGUCGCGCAUCCGGUGGACCUCGAAGCGGUGUGACUGACCUUGAGCAGAGUAAGAUAGAGAUUGAAAGAUUGGCCGCGCGCGAGCCGACUUGCUGAGCGGGCCGAGGAACGUCACAGGAAUGAACUCCUUUCCUUCGCUGUGAUGUGACGUGAGCGAGAAACAGAGCACGGAUGAAAUGAUGCACAACUUGCCUUUGAACAAAGAAGCUGCAACAGACGCCAUCCUGUGAGGUAAGAGUCACGGAAGAAGUGUAACGGCCGGCAAACCUCGCGCGCUGCCAUGGCCAAACAUGUCGGCAACGGCCCGCUUGUGCGGCGCCGCGUCUCUUAUAGCUGGGUGUCGUGUUUGUCCCUGUAAGACCGUUGUUGGCUUCCACGAUAUUGUGCAAUAUGAGCAGGCACGUGCACGGCUCUGGUUGCCGUUCGUAUGUAGCGUUUCGUUGAGUUGUGGCCCCUCCUCUCCAACCCUUUUUUUCAAUCGGCACUGUCCAACUACCACCCCACCACCACCACCACCCACCGACCACCACUCUCUCUUACUCAUUAUCACCGCACCCCACUUCUUCAUCCGCGCUCGCGCGCCGCAAUGCAG
Molecule: unclassified non-coding RNA, 1482 nt
Filed under: Leishmania donovani
Lineage: Eukaryota; Euglenozoa; Kinetoplastea; Trypanosomatida; Trypanosomatidae
Description: gene:unknown
Source: RNAcentral